RNAcentral lists this ribosomal RNA (2511 nucleotides) under Triticum aestivum (bread wheat). Its description in RNAcentral is "partial small subunit ribosomal RNA". The record is from RNAcentral. Lineage: Eukaryota; Viridiplantae; Streptophyta; Magnoliopsida; Poales; Poaceae.
AUGGGUUAUCAUCAGAUUCGCAUUCGUGAAGAAGAUAUUCCCAAGACAGCAUUCAGAACAAGCUUUGGUUCUUAUGAAUAUACUAUCGUGUCUUUCGGCCUUGUCAAUGCUCCGCCAGUAUUCUCUCGGAUGAUGAAUUUCAUCUUCAACCCCUAUACCAAUGAAUUCGUCCUGGUGUAUCUCGAUGAUAUAUUGGUCUUCUCCAACAAUAAGAAGGAUCAUGCCAAACAUUUGCGAUUGGUGCUCGACAAGCUCAGAGAGUAUCAAUUCUAUGCGAAGUUCUCAAAAUGUGAGUUUUGGCUUGAUGAAGUUCUUUUCCUUGGUCACAUCAUCUCUGCCAAGGGCAUCACUGUUAAUCCCGAGAAGGUGUCCGCAAUUGUGAAUUGGGAACCUCCUCAGAAUGUCAAGCAGCUCCGCAGUUUUCUUGGUCUUGCAAGCUAUUGCCGAAGAUUCGUAGAGAAUUUCUCCAAGAUUGCAAAGCCUCGUUCCAACCUCCUCCAGAAGCAUGUGAAGUAUGUCUGGUCUCCUGAGUGUGAUGUUGCUUUCAACACUCUCAAAGAGAAACUAGUCACAGCUCCUGUCUUAACUCCUCCUUAUGAAUCCAAGCCAUUUGAAGUUUUCUGUGAUGCUUCUCUCCAAGGUCUCGGUGCUGUAUUAAUGCAAGAGAAGAAAGUUGUGGCCUAUACCUCUCGUCAGUUGAAGCCCAAUGAGAAGAACUACCCCACUCACGAUCUUCAGUUGGCGGCAGUUGUCCAUGCAUUAAUAAUGUGGAGACAUCUCUUGUUGGGAAGACAAGUGGACAUAUUCACCGAUCAGAAGAGUCUCAAGUACAUCUUCACUCAGCCCAACCUCAACCUCAGGCAGACUCGAUGGGUCGAAAUGAUUCAAGAGUACAAUCCGAGUAUUGAAUAUACUCCAGGCAAAGCCAAUGUCAUUGCAGAUGCUUUGAGCAGGAAGGCUUAUUGCAACAACUUAAUUCUCAAGCCAUUCCAACCGGAUCUUUGUGAAGCUUUCCGCAAGCUGAAUCUCCAAGUUGUUCCUCAAGACUUUCUUGCCAACCUCAUAGUCUCUCCUACUUUGGAAGAUCAAAUUCGUGAGGCACAACUUCUUGAUGCCAUGGUGAAGAAGGUGAAACGUGGUAUCGACAAGGGUCUUUCCAAAUACAAGUGCUAUCGCAUUGAUGACAGAGACACUUUAUUCUUCGAGGACCGGAUUGUGGUUCCUAAAGGUGAUCUAAGGAAAGUCAUUAUGAACGAGGCGCACAAUUCUCUUCUUUCCAUUCAUCCUGGAAGUACGAAGAUGUAUCAUGACCUCAAGCAGUCGUAUUGGUGGACUCGAAUGAAGCGAGAAAUUGCUCAAUUCGUGAAUGAAUGUGAUGUCUGUCGAAGAGUGAAAGCAGAACACCAACGACCAGCUGGUCUCCUCCAACCUCUUGCUAUCCCAGAAUGGAAGUUUGAUCAUAUCGAAAUGGACUUCGUGACUGGAUUUCCAAAGUCCAAGCGUGGAAAUGAUGCUAUCUUCGUUGUCAUUGACAAGCUUUCUAAAAUGGCUCAUUUCCUUCCAAUCAAAGAAUCCAUCACAGCAGUUCAGUUCGCAGAGCUAUACACCUCCAGAAUUGUCUCCUUGCACGGCAUUCCACAAUUGAUUUCUUCAGAUCGUGGAAGCAUCUUCACCCCUAAGUUCUGGGACUCCUUCCAGAAGGCCAUGGGCACAAACAUUCGCUUCAGCACAGCUUUCCAUCCUCAAACUAGUGGCCAAGUCGAGCGAGUCAAUCAAAUUCUUGAAGAUAUGCUCAGGGCUUGUGUCAUUUCCUUUGGCAUGAAAUGGGAAGAUUGUCUUCCAUAUGCCGAAUUCUCCUACAACAACAGCUUCCAAGCAAGUUCGGGCAAGGCCCCAUUCAAGAUUCUCUAUGGCAGAAAGUGUUGUACUCCUCUUAAUUGGUCAGAGACUGGUGAACGCCAACUUCUUGGCAAUGACUUAAUCAUAGAAGCCGAAGAAAUGUGUAAAGUCAUCCGUGAUAAUCUCAAAGCCGCGCAAUCGCGCCAGAAGAGUUACUAUGAUAGUAAGCACCGUGAUGUGGCUUUCGAGAUCGGAGACCAUGUCUACCUCCGCGUCUCUCCAAUGAAAGGCACUCGUCGCUUCAAUAUCAAAGGGAAGCUUGCCCCUAGAUACGUGGGUCCUUUCAAGAUCAUUGGCAAAAGAGGCGACCUCGCCUAUCAACUUGAGCUUCCUUCCAACUUCGCGAACGUGCAUGAUGUGUUUCACGUGUCACAGCUUCGCAAGUGCUUCAAGAUGCCUGAGCGCAUUAUCAACUUCGAAGAUAUCGACCUUCAAGAAGAUUUGUCUUAUCAUGAGCACCCCGUUGCUAUUCUUGAAGAAACUGAGCGCAAGACUCGCAACAAGUCAAUCAAAUUCCUGAAAGUGAAGUGGUCGCACCAUUCCGACCGGGAAGCCACCUGGGAACGCGAGGACCAUCUUCGUUCUGAAUAUCUGGAGUUCUUUCAGUCCUAG